Molecule: ribosomal RNA, 427 nt
Filed under: uncultured bacterium
Lineage: Bacteria
Description: bacterial SSU rRNA
Rfam family: Bacterial small subunit ribosomal RNA
Source: RNAcentral
UGGGGAAUUUUGGACAAUGGACGCAAGUCUGAUCCAGCCAUGCCGCGUGCGGGAAGAAGGCCUUCGGGUUGUAAACCGCUUUUGUCAGGGAAGAAACGAGUUUCUCUAAUACAGAGACUUAAUGACGGUACCUGAAGAAUAGGCACCGGCUAACUACGUGCCAGCAGCCGCGGUAAUACGUAGGGUGCGAGCGUUAAUCGGAAUUACUGGGCGUAAAGCGUGCGCAGGCGGUUAUAUAAGACAGAUGUGAAAUCCCCGGGCUCAACCUGGGAACUGCAUUUGUGACUGUAUAGCUAGAGUACGGCAGAGGGGGAUGGAAUUCCGCGUGUAGCAGUGAAAUGCGUAGAUAUGCGGAGGAACACCGAUGGCGAAGGCAAUCCCCUGGACCUGUACUGACGCUCAUGCACGAAAGCGUGGGGAGCAAACA